GUGCUCUCUUCGGCAGCACAUAUACUAAAAUAGGAACAAUACAGAGAAGAGUAGCAUGGCCCCUGUGCAAGGAUGACACUCACAUUCAUGAAGUAUUCCAUAUUUUU
Molecule: small nuclear RNA, 107 nt
Organism: Lynx canadensis (Canada lynx)
Lineage: Eukaryota; Metazoa; Chordata; Mammalia; Carnivora; Felidae
Source: Ensembl